GAUGAACGCUGGCGGCGUGCCUAAUACAUGCCAGUCGAGCGAACGGACGAGAAGCUUGCUUCUCUGAUGUUAGCGGCGGACGGGUGAGUAACACGUGGAUAACCUACCUAUAAGACUGGGAUAACUUCGGGAAACCGGAGCUAAUACCGGAUGAUAUUUUGAACCGCAUGGUUCAAAAGUGAAAGACGGUCUUGCUGUCACUUAUAGAUGGAUCCGCGCUGCAUUAGCUAGUUGGUAAGGUAACGGCUUACCAAGGCAACGAUGCAUAGCCGACCUGAGAGGGUGAUCGGCCACACUGGAACUGGGACACGGUCCAGACUCCUACGGGAGGCAGCAGUAGGGAAUCUUCCGCAAUGGGCGAAAGCCUGACGGAGCAACGCCGCGUGAGUGAUGAAGGUCUUCGGAUCGUAAAACUCUGUUAUUAGGGAAGAACAUAUGUGUAAGUAACUGUGCACAUCUUGACGGUACCUAAUCAGAAAGCCACGGCUAACUACGUG
Molecule: ribosomal RNA, 497 nt
Filed under: uncultured bacterium
Lineage: Bacteria
Description: partial 16S ribosomal RNA
Rfam family: Bacterial small subunit ribosomal RNA
Source: RNAcentral